RNAcentral lists this ribosomal RNA (506 nucleotides) under uncultured bacterium. RNAcentral's name for it is "partial 16S ribosomal RNA". It matches the Rfam family "Bacterial small subunit ribosomal RNA", at positions 29 to 523 of the family's 1533-position model. The record is from RNAcentral.
AGUGAACGCUGGCGGUAGGCCUAACACAUGCAAGUCGAACGGCAGCACAGGAGAGCUUGCUCUCUGGGUGGCGAGUGGUGGACGGGUGAGGAAUACAUCGGAAUCUACUCUGUCGUGGGGGAUAACGUAGGGAAACUUACGCUAAUACCGCAUACGACCUGCGGGUGAAAGCAGGGGACCUUCGGGCCUUGCGCGAUUGAAUGAGCCGAUGUCGGAUUAGCUAGCUGGCGGGGUAAAGGCCCACCAAGACGACGAUCCGUAGCUGGUCUGAGAGGAUGAUCAGCCACACUGGAACUGAGACACGGUCCAGACUCCUACGGGAGGCAGCAGUGGGGAAUAUUGGACAAUGGGCGCAAGCCUGAUCCAGCCAUACCGCGUGGGUGAAGAAGGCCUUCGGGUUGUAAAGCCCUUUUGUUGGGAAAGAAAUCCAGCUGGCUAAUACCCGGUUGGGAUGACGGUACCCAAAGAAUAAGCACCGGCUAACUUCGUGCCAGCCGCCGCAGUAA